Molecule: ribosomal RNA, 501 nt
Filed under: uncultured bacterium
Lineage: Bacteria
Description: partial 16S ribosomal RNA
Rfam family: Bacterial small subunit ribosomal RNA
Source: RNAcentral
AUUGAACGCUGGCGGCAGGCUUAACACAUGCAAGUCGAGCGGGGGAAGGUAGCUUGCUACCGGACCUAGCGGCGGACGGGUGAGUAAUGCUUAGGAAUCUGCCUAUUAGUGGGGGACAACAUCUCGAAAGGGAUGCUAAUACCGCAUACGUCCUACGGGAGAAAGCAGGGGAUCUUCGGACCUUGCGCUAAUAGAUGAGCCUAAGUCAGAUUAGCUAGUUGGUGGGGUAAGGGCCUACCAAGGCGACGAUCUGUAGCGGGUCUGGGAGGAUGAUCCGCCACACUGGGACUGAGACACGGCCCAGACGCCUACGGGAGGAAGCAGUGGGGAAUAUUGGACAAUGGGGGGAACCCUGAUCCAGCCAUGCCGCGUGUGUGAAGAAGGCCUUAUGGUUGUAAAGCACUUUAAGCGAGGAGGAGGCUACUUUAGUUAAUACCUAGAGAUAGUGGACGUUACUCGCAGAAUAAGCACCGGCUAACUCUGUGCCAGCAGCCGCCGUAA